CCAAUUAACACCAACUUCUUGUUUUCCUUUUCCAGAAACAGAUUAAAUAUUAUCAUGGCAGUGUAAAUCCAGCCCCAGCUUAACCAACGCAGUCACUCCUUCAGACGGCACAACGGACAGGAACAAACAAGCACCACCUCCGAAAGAUUCUCUUACUGAACUUCUAGUUGUGAAGGACGCAUACUGGCCUGAAACGCAACAAACUGCUCUUUGAGAAGUGAUGCCCUCUCUUAUCAACCACUGCUGAGCCCUUUGGGGUAGAUAAGAUUGCUCCUUCUGAGAGUCACUCUUCAUGCUCUUCAAAGCUUCCUUCUCCUCUUGGAGACUGCAAGGAGACUGUGCAGGAGGAAUUCGAUGAAAAACAGAACGAAAGCAACACGCCAUUGGAUUCAACCGGAGAUGUCAAAUAGCCAAGCGCAUUUUUUCGAGCGCAGGAGCCGCAGUUCAGAAGGAGGGCAGCCAUAUUGUUGCUUGAGAGCAGAUGGCUAUCUAAAAGGAGUUAAAGCAGAAUUGACUACCUCCAGCUGCACUGGUCCAUCUCCUUCUUUCUUUCUUCGUCCUUGUUCUCUCUCUUUCUUUUGGUCUGGGUGUCCAGAUAGACGCCUUCUCAGUUUUUUGAGUGCUUGAAUCAGUAAAGUCAUUCUCAGAUUGUAUCAUCUGAUUUGUGAAUCGUUUUUGUUGUCACUAUAGACUGGUGGUGUGGACUUAAUUUAUUUAUUACUGAAUAUGACAUGACACCUGCAUGGCAACAAAUAUCGAUUGAGAUGACGAAUACACGAUCGUCUCAACCUUAAAACAUAUCCCGCAAUCCUUAAACGCUUAUGUAUUUCCGUACGUUCAUACUAGCCGCUACCUUGUAAGAACCAAUAUAGCUUCUCAGCUGCUAGACGCAGUUACGUGAAUCUUGUUUUUAAUGCUGUUUAUCAAAUAUUAAAGUCUUUUCAGUACAUCCGCGAUUAAUGUAGUUAGUUUCACAUUAUGGCUUUUUAUAAAGUCUGUUUCAGUGUUUUUAAAGUCCUUUAGUCAAAGAAAAUUCCUGGUGGCUGCUAAUUUUAUAGACGACUCAGCUUUUGUCAAUGGUCAUGAGAGUUUUAUAGUUUGUAGAUUUUAAUUAAGAAUUAAAAUCGGAUUUUUCUGCCGUACUAGAGUGAGAUGCAUCUGUAAGACUUAAAAUAUGGGUCAAAAUGAACUCAACUAGUAUUACAUAAAAAACUAAACGGUACACCUCUCACUACGAAAAGCGACUUGUUUGAAUACAGAAAUUCAGUGGUCCUUUGACGCCGUCGGAAGAUCUCGCUAGCAGUACAAAGUAACCGUAAUAUAAAACCUACAUGUAUGCUUCUACUUGUAUUUUUGUGCCUUUUAAUAGCAUGGAUCUCCCUGUAAAGAUUCUUUUUGGAUAACCAGCCAUAUAUUUAUUACAGAAAAAAAUAUAUAUAAUAAUGAUAUUGCACUAGUUAUAUUCAAGAAAAUUCCUCUAGGACAUUUCAGUUGACUUUCCAAGAAAAGCAUAACACGAUCAGGUUCCGGCUUCGGUCUCCUGCUGAGUACGAAUCAAUUUAUGCAUGUUCACAUCUGACGUCUUACAUGGUUUGCGCUUACAUGUCUGUACAUACUGAUUUAUGAUAGCUACGACUCAUAUAGAUAAGUGCUAAUGAUUUUGAGACAAAACUCAGAGGUUUUCAGAUCUGAUUUGUACCCUGCUUUCUCCAACUGGCUGUAAUGAUCUAUAUCCUGUGUUGUGGGGAAUAACCUGUUGUCUGCCCAGUCUUCGUUUCUUAAUUAGAGCACAUCAGUUUUUUUUUAAGAUACCGUACGUAAUGUGAAGUUGACAUUUGGUGAGUACUAUCUUGUCCUGGUUAAGGUGGAUGUUUACAAAAAUUCGUAUUAACAUUGGCAGCAAUGGAAAUGUCUCUCAUUGUAGUGUUCCACCGAUUUUCAUGCAGUUAGUCCGACAAUCUGAGUCAUUCUGAAGCUCUCGGUGGGGCAUAUCAGUGCAAGUAUUUGCUUUUUCCAUCACAGAUCUCCUGUAAUCCGCUCCAGACCAUUUCAGUGUAGUUCAGGGCAGCGCUGGUAAUGUUACAACAUGAGGUCACAGAUGAUAAACAUGCUACAUUUAUUUUUACACUCGAAUUGAUUCAGGAACCUCAGUGAACUGGAGAAGUUCUCAGUCUGUCUUGAUGAAGCUUCCUUUGGCGUCUUUGUUGGUGCUCUGAUAAGGUUCCAUGUAAAGAGUCAAUAAGUAAUUGUGACAAAUAAGCUGCACCAUAGAAAUCUUCAUAAGUGGAACAUUCCUACAUGUUGUAUGAGUUUUGCGUGUGAAAAAGUGAGCUAAGACCCCCCCCCACAAAACACAAACCACAGACCACAUGAGCCAGCCAGUGAAAUUCCCACCACUGCCCUGAAACUACUGGGAAGGCACUGUUGCUCUGUUUUGUGAUGCUGAGAUGAGAGGGACGUACAAGGGAACCAUACCAGGAUUUUUCAGAUUUGGCACAUCCCAACUGCCGCAAUUGGAUCCUGCAUCAUAUUUGUAAGACUGCAGAACACAGCUAGUCAGGAAGCCAGUCAGGGUGCCAAAAGUAAACAAGGAACUGUGGCCCAGUCAUUGACUGGGUGACAGUCUACUGUAUUCUGUAUUUUAUAAGAAUAUAUGCAAAUAUAUGUAUGAGAUGUGAAUAAAGUACAUUUAUCCACCAUCGCUGAGGCUUGGGUGGGCUUCUCAUUACGACUAAUAAAACCAUGAUAGUGACAGUU
Long non-coding RNA from Sinocyclocheilus rhinocerous, 2757 nucleotides. RefSeq lists it as uncharacterized. The transcript is spliced from 2 exons. NCBI's taxonomy places the organism in Eukaryota, Metazoa, Chordata, Actinopteri, Cypriniformes, Cyprinidae. The record is from RefSeq and is a predicted model, not a curated record.